This 1299-nucleotide ribosomal RNA is filed under the name Escherichia coli. RNAcentral describes it as "bacterial LSU rRNA". It matches the Rfam family "Bacterial large subunit ribosomal RNA", at positions 1 to 1332 of the family's 2925-position model. The record is from RNAcentral. Lineage: Bacteria; Pseudomonadati; Pseudomonadota; Gammaproteobacteria; Enterobacterales; Enterobacteriaceae.
GGGUUGUGAGGUUAAGCGACUAAGCGUACACGGUGGAUGCCCUGGCAGUCAGAGGCGAUGAAGGACGUGCUAAUCUGCGAUAAGCGUCGGUGAGGUGAUAUGAACCGUUAUAACCGGCGAUUUCCGAAUGGGGAAACCCAGUGUGUUUCGACACACUAUCAUUAACUGAAUCCAUAGGUUAAUGAGGCGAACCGGGGGAACUGAAACAUCUAAGUACCCCGAGGAAAAGAAAUCAACCGAGAUUCCCCCAGUAGCGGCGAGCGAACGGGGAGGAGCCCAGAGCCUGAAUCAGUGUGUGUGUUAGUGGAAGCGUCUGGAAAGGCGCGCGAUACAGGGUGACAGCCCCGUACACAAAAAUGCACAUACUGUGAGCUCGAUGAGUAGGGCGGGACACGUGGUAUCCUGUCUGAAUAUGGGGGGACCAUCCUCCAAGGCUAAAUACUCCUGACUGACCGAUAGUGAACCAGUACCGUGAGGGAAAGGCGAAAAGAACCCCGGCGAGGGGAGUGAAAAAGAACCUGAAACCGUGUACGUACAAGCAGUGGGAGCCUCUUAAUGGGGUGACUGCGUACCUUUUGUAUAAUGGGUCAGCGACUUAUAUUCUGUAGCAAGGUUAACCGAAUAGGGGAGCCGAAGGGAAACCGAGUCUUAACUGGGCGUUAAGUUGCAGGGUAUAGACCCGAAACCCGGUGAUCUAGCCAUGGGCAGGUUGAAGGUUGGGUAACACUAACUGGAGGACCGAACCGACUAAUGUUGAAAAAUUAGCGGAUGACUUGUGGCUGGGGGUGAAAGGCCAAUCAAACCGGGAGAUAGCUGGUUCUCCCCGAAAGCUAUUUAGGUAGCGCCUCGUGAAUUCAUCUCCGGGGGUAGAGCACUGUUUCGGCAAGGGGGUCAUCCCGACUUACCAACCCGAUGCAAACUGCGAAUACCGGAGAAUGUUAUCACGGGAGACACACGGCGGGUGCUAACGUCCGUCGUGAAGAGGGAAACAACCCAGACCGCCAGCUAAGGUCCCAAAGUCAUGGUUAAGUGGGAAACGAUGUGGGAAGGCCCAGACAGCCAGGAUGUUGGCUUAGAAGCAGCCAUCAUUUAAAGAAAGCGUAAUAGCUCACUGGUCGAGUCGGCCUGCGCGGAAGAUGUAACGGGGCUAAACCAUGCACCGAAGCUGCGGCAGCGACACUAUGUGUUGUUGGGUAGGGGAGCGUUCUGUAAGCCUGUGAAGGUGUACUGUGAGGUAUGCUGGAGGUAUCAGAAGUGCGAAUGCUGACAUAAGUAACGAUAAAGCGGGUGAAAAGCCCG